Long non-coding RNA from Tympanuchus pallidicinctus (lesser prairie-chicken), 2051 nucleotides. RefSeq lists it as uncharacterized. The transcript has 3 exons. NCBI's taxonomy places the organism in Eukaryota, Metazoa, Chordata, Aves, Galliformes, Phasianidae. The record is from RefSeq and is a predicted model, not a curated record.
GGCGGUUCUGUAAUGCCGCGCUGUGGGACGAGGGCCGCGUGGGUUGCGGUUCCUGGAGGAACGUUUCUUAGCGUGUGCUCGGGCCCUUUGCGGCUCUACUUAAAGCGUUGCCCUGGGGCGGCUCAGCCCUGCCCUCAGCAGAGCCCUGCCCUCAGCUCCCGGCCGACCGCGGGCGUGCGGGCUGCAGCGGGGGAACGAACCGCUCGCUGGUUCCGUGCGGGUGCGCUGAGCAAAGCCUAAGUGAGCCUCUGCUGCUCCGUGUGUUCGCACGGGCCUUGCCGGGUUCUAAAUAUGAAGCGCUGAUUGCGCUGUGUCCCGUGCUUUCUUCACCCGUACUUGCUAUUGUCCCUGCGUCGGGAACCUUUCUGGUGAGUGGGAAAGCUAUGAGAAAUUCUGUGCUAAGCUGGUGCAGAAGUCGUGUGGCAGAAUGGAAACAGCUUGGGCUCAGUGAUGCCCUUCUUAGUGGGGGGAAUGGUGUGCUCGUGUGAGCUCCAGGCAGGGGCUGCUGCUGGUGGAGAUGUGGCAGAGCCCGGAGGAGGCACAAACACACACCUCUCGUUUGACUCGAGCACUGAUCCUGCAGCAAUUAAGGGAUGGAUAUCAGUAAUUUUGUAGGCAGGUGUCUGUUAGGAGAAGGGGAUUUAAAAAAAUAAAUAAAUAAAUAAAAAUAAAAAUCAAAGUUUUGGCACAUCUUAAUUAACUUGUCAGUCUAGUUAACAGAUAACCAAACCUGCAGGAACUCUGCAGAGCUGAAACAACAACACUUAACGAGAACUUACUGUGGGAUUGCAGCUGACUUGAAAAUGUAGCUCAGAGAGAACAGAAGACAAAGCUGAUAAGAAGGUGGAAGGAUUGCAACAGCCUGCGAAGCCAUCUGCUCCAACAAACGUUCGUGGCAAAAUGAGAGACGGAUGUAUCUAGCAGCAACCAGCAGCAGCUUUUUGAGAGGCAAAGCCAAAAGAAGGGCAGUAUCUCCUGUGCUCUGGUUUGACUCCAUUUACCGUUAAGCUGAGAUAACUUGCUGCCAAAGUCUCAAGUAGCAGGCCAUCCAGCCUAGCAAAACACAGAGGCCCCAAACAAAAGGCCAAAAUCUCAAGUGCCUGCAUGCUGCCACCUGAGAAGACAUUUUCUAAGAUCGUGCUGUGCCAGCCCUGCCUGAUGAAUUUCAGAGGUAAGACAGGUGACUGCUUAGCUGGAGUGGUACAAUGAAGGAUCAGGGCAUGUGUUAAUGGAAGUCAGAGGUUAUUUAAUUGGAAGCCUAACUUAAUCAGUAUGUGUGUCUAGAGAUUGAAAUAGAAACAAGGUCUACCCAUAUUCUAGGGAUUGUGCACUAGGCAUAGAAUUAUUUAUAAAAGGACUGUUUUACAGGAUUAAUAAGAUGAUAUAUUAAAUUCCAUCUUCUUGACAUUCAUGCAGUCAGGUCAGAUUUGGUGUUUUUUUUUUCUUUGACUUUAGGUUAGUUAACUGUCAAGACUCAAAUUUCAAACACAUGUAAAUUGUGCUGUAUCCUAGUUACUGUUCUCUGAGUGCUUAUUUUUAACCAGGCACCGAAACUUCUAAAAUUCAAGCUGUUAGUUAGGUGACACUGCAUGGCCAGUAAUUAAUGUCAGUAUAUCAGACUUUCACUGUCUGCUUCAUAUUUAAAGUUAAUGCUUCUGGUCCCCCGAGGACAAGACAAUAUGUGAAAUGCAAGGGAAGAAAGAUACCGCAGAGAUUUAGUCCCUUAAGAAGGCAAGUUCAUUUAUGCUAUGGGCAAAAACAGUGCUUCUAAACAUUUUCUCCAGUAUUGCCCUCAGUGUCUGAAAGUCAGUUCUCAGCACACUAAGACAAGGUGCACAGUGAAGCCUGAAUGUACCUAUUUUCUUCUUGGUGAUUGCUAUACACAGUCAGUAUAUUUUUGGCAUUUCUAUCUUGAGUUUGUGAUCCAUUUAAUACACCUGGUUUGUUUGUAACUGCAUGAGGGGACAGCAUGAAGUAAAGAAUAAUAAAAGUAUUUUGUAUCCAUACAUUCCCUGGUAAAGAUUCAGAGGAGGAAUAGCACUGUUUUGUUU